RNAcentral lists this unclassified non-coding RNA (348 nucleotides) under soil metagenome. Its description in RNAcentral is "partial contains 5.8S ribosomal RNA, internal transcribed spacer 2, and large subunit ribosomal RNA". The stretch from base 1 to 120 matches the Rfam family "5.8S ribosomal RNA", at positions 35 to 154 of the family's 154-position model. The record is from RNAcentral.
GAUGAAGAACGUAGCAAAAUGCGAUAAGUAAUGUGAAUUGCAGAAUUCAGUGAAUCAUCGAAUCUUCGAACGCACAUUGCGCCCGCUGGUAUUCCGGCGGGCAUGCCUGUUCGAGCGUCAUUUCAACCCUCAAGCCCCCGGGUUUGGUGUUGGGGAUCGGCUCUGCCCUUCUGGGCGGUGCCGCCCCCGAAAUACAUUGGCGGUCUCGCUGCAGCCUCCAUUGCGUAGUAGCUAACACCUCGCAACUGGAACGCGGCGCGGCCAUGCCGUAAAACCCCAACUUCUGAAUGUUGACCUCGGAUCAGGUAGGAAUACCCGCUGAACUUAAGCAUAUCAAUAAGCGGAGGA